RNAcentral lists this ribosomal RNA (354 nucleotides) under Chitinophagaceae bacterium. Its description in RNAcentral is "bacterial SSU rRNA". It matches the Rfam family "Bacterial small subunit ribosomal RNA", at positions 1 to 374 of the family's 1533-position model. The record is from RNAcentral. Lineage: Bacteria; Pseudomonadati; Bacteroidota; Chitinophagia; Chitinophagales; Chitinophagaceae.
UUACAAUGGAGAGUUUGAUCCUGGCUCAGGAUGAACGCUAGCGGCAGGCUUAAUACAUGCAAGUCUAGGGGGCAGCAAUGUCACCGGCGUACGGGUGCGUAACACGUAUGCAACCUACCCGUCAUUGGGGGAUAGCUCGGGGAAACUCGAAUUAAUACCGCAUACGACCUACGGGUGAAAGGGGGCGCAAGCUCUUGCUAGAAGAUGAGCCUAAAUCAGAUUAGCUAGUUGGUAGGGUAAAGGCCUACCAAGGCGACGAUCUGUAACUGGUCUGAGAGGAUGAUCAGUCACACUGGAACUGAGACACGGUCCAGCCUCCUACGGGAGGCAGCAGUGGGGAAUAUUGGACAAUGG